CUAAGUUUGAUGGCGACCGGCGCACGGGUGAGUAACACGUAUCCAACCUGCCUCAUACUCGGGGAUAGCCUUUCGAAAGAAAGAUUAAUAUCCGAUAGCAUAUAUUUCCCGCAUGGGUUUUAUAUUAAAGAAAUUCGGUAUGAGAUGGGGAUGCGUUCCAUUAGUUUGUUGGGGGGUAACGGCCCACCAAGACUACGAUGGAUAGGGGUUCUGAGAGGAAGGUCCCCCACAUUGGAACUGAGACACGGUCCAAACUCCUACGGGAGGCAGCAUG
RNAcentral lists this ribosomal RNA (274 nucleotides) under uncultured bacterium. RNAcentral's name for it is "partial 16S ribosomal RNA". It matches the Rfam family "Bacterial small subunit ribosomal RNA", at positions 79 to 353 of the family's 1533-position model. The record is from RNAcentral.